CUCCUACGGGAGGCAGCAGUGGGGAAUAUUGCACAAUGGGGGAAACCCUGAUGCAGCGACGCCGCGUGAGUGAAGAAGUAUUUCGGUAUGUAAAGCUCUAUCAGCAGGGAAGAUAAUGACGGUACCUGNCUAAGAAGCACCGGCUAAAUACGUGCCAGCAGCCGCGGUAAUACGUAUGGUGCAAGCGUUAUCCGGAUUUACUGGGUGUAAAGGGUGCGUAGGUGGCAAGGCAAGUCUGAAGUGAAAAUCCGGGGCUCANCCCCGGAACUGCUUUGGAAACUGUUUAGCUAGAGUNCAGGAGAGGUAAGUGGAAUUCCUAGUGUAGCGGUGNAAUGCGUAGAUAUUAGGAGGAACACCAGUGGCGNAGGCGACUUACUGGACUGNUACUGACNCNGAGGCGCGUAAGCGUNGGGNCCCAANCAGGAUUAGAUNGCCCUGNUAAUACCGCGCCGUNANGCGAUGAAUGGUAGNNGGAUGGAGUUNCNAA
This 487-nucleotide ribosomal RNA is filed under the name uncultured bacterium. RNAcentral's name for it is "partial 16S ribosomal RNA". It matches the Rfam family "Bacterial small subunit ribosomal RNA", at positions 336 to 836 of the family's 1533-position model. The record is from RNAcentral.